Molecule: ribosomal RNA, 468 nt
Filed under: uncultured bacterium
Lineage: Bacteria
Description: partial 16S ribosomal RNA
Rfam family: Bacterial small subunit ribosomal RNA
Source: RNAcentral
GACGAACGCUGGCGGCGUGCUUAACACAUGCAAGUCGAACGGAAAGGCCCUGCUUUUGUGGGGUGCUCGAGUGGCGAACGGGUGAGUAACACGUGAGUAACCUGCCCUUGACUUUGGGAUAACUUCAGGAAACUGGGGCUAAUACCGGAUAGGAGCUCCUGCUGCAUGGUGGGGGUUGGAAAGUUUCGGCGGUUGGGGAUGGACUCGCGGCUUAUCAGCUUGUUGGUGGGGUAGUGGCUUACCAAGGCUUUGACGGGUAGCCGGCAUGGGAGGGUGACCGGCCACAUUGGGACUGAGAUACGGACCAGAAUCCUACGGGAGGCAGCAGUGGGGAAUAUUGCACAAUGGGCGGAAGCCUGAUGCAGCAACGCCGCGUGCGGGAUGACGGCCUUCGGGUUGUAAACCGCUUUCGCCUGUGACGAAGCGUGAGUGACGGUAAUGUGUAAAGAAGCACCGGCUAACUACGUG